ACCCUAGCUUAAUAGCUAAUUUUGUUCGCCUCUAGCUUCGUUCGAGCUCAAUUUCAUCGACCUUCAAUUCAAGGACUCACUCACUGCUAUCAAUUCUGCAUUCACUAAGGUCCCUUCCCUUGCUACAUGCGAAACUCCUAGAAGAGAUGAUAGGAAGCGGAAUAAAAGUAGUCUUUCUUCCCUUUGACUUCCGAGCUGGACGUGAGUUCAAUCCUUUCAGUUGAAUAAAGAAAGCGCGGAUUUGGGGCUUCAACUACAAAGACUAGCUAUACCUGCAAGACUUGAUAUAUUGUCAAUUACUAAGAUGUGCAUCUAUCAUUUAUUUGACUUACUCCAAUUUUUUUGAUCAGUUUUAGAAACUGAUUUAAAGAGAUACCAAAUUAUUUGGUGACUAUUUGGUCUUUUCUUUAUUUGGUUUAUGAAUUAAUUUUUAUGCUUAAAAAAUGAAUAUCAGAUUAAGAAUUACAGUUUAAAACUGAUUCAAAACUUAAUCUUAAAUCAGUAUGUAAACAGAAUCCAAUGGCUUUGGUAUGUUAUAAAUCUCACCAUAAUCUAAUAGAAAAAGUUUCCACCAAAUAAAAAAGAAGCGGAUGCUGAGAGGAAUAGAUGCAGAUGUUGUGAAGCAGAUGAUGAACACAAGUCCUAAAAUGCUUUACACCUCAUUCGAAACUCUCAGAAAAAUAAUACAGACAAUCUGUUUAUUUGUGUUUCACUUUCUCAAUUCUGUUUAAUCUGACUUUCUUAUUUCAUUUUCUAGUGCAUUUUUGUUGUAUAAAUGCAGUGCAAUUACCAUUAAACAUCUUCUUGUUGUUUGGCUCCAAGUUAAAAUUAUUAAAUACUACUAAUUAAGUUCAUUCUGUCCUAUGCGCCGAGGGUCGCAUGGAAGCAGCCUCUCUGCCCUUUUGGGUAGGGNNNNNNNNNNNNNNNNNNNNNNNNNNNNNNNNNNNNNNNNNNNNNNNNNNNNNNNNNNNNNNNNNNNNNNNNNNNNNNNNNNNNNNNNNNNNNNNNNNNNNNNNNNNNNNNNNNNNNNNNNNNNNNNNNNNNNNNNNNNNNNNNNNNNNNNNNCCCUUUUGGGUAGGGGUAAGACUGCCUACAUAUUACCCUCCCCAGACCCCACCUGGUGGGAGUAUACUGGGUAGUUGUUGUUGUUGUUGUUGUUACUAAUUAAGUAUCAAAGUUAGAGCCUCAUUCUCAUCGGUCUGGUGUCUCGUCAACACCAACAAAUACUUUCAAUCCUAAGGAAAGAGCGUAUGCUUCCUCAUCUCCAACGCUCCAAUAAACUGAUGAUUAAUGAUUAUUAGGUUAGAUAUGAAAAUAUAUUAACUCCUUUCAACAGGAAUCAACUACUGAGAAAACUAAAAGGGCGAAAAAUAUAGCAUAUCAUGUUCGUAGACAUGUGAAACACUUAUCCUGUUGUUUCUAUUUUAUCUUUGUCAUUAACCACAAUUCUCUUCUCUUGCUGUUCGGGCUUCAAAAAAAUUCCCAACAGAACAGAGAAGACAGUUUUUUAUGUGAAGGAAAAAAUAAUAGAAUAAUGUCUCAUCAUCAAUAUUUAUUGAGCCUUCUGUAUUUGUGUUUCAUAAUUUGUAAAAUUUUAAGUAUUAGAUGCAUCUAUUCAAGAGGAAAAUCAUUUACCUUACAGUUGAUACUCUAUCCAAGCAGUAUUAUAACUUCAGAAUCUCUAUACAAGGAUUCAGGAUAUAGAGAAAUCUCACUAAGAUUUAAAUGAUAAUAACUUAACUUUUAAAGCAUUGACGAUCAAAUUUUUGCAGAAUACUUUUCAGUUGUAGGUUAAAUCUCAAAAAAAUCUCAUAGCAUAACUGUCAAUUCCCAAUAGGGGAGCUUCAAUGAUUUCAUCAUAUACUAUAUUCUGUGUUUUAUGAUCAUCGUUGCUAUCAGCUAUUGGCGGUUGGAUCAGCAUUUUCACUGCACAUGAGUUUUUUGCUCGCGAUAAAGCAACAUAAAGCUGACCAUACGAAAAAAUAGGCUCUCAUAAAUAAAUUCCAACAAAAUCUAAUGUCACCUUUAUUAAUAGUCAUAGUGAAAAAUAAUCUACUCAAAAAUUGUGUUCUUUUGAAAGGAAUAGGUAGUUUUUCAUCUUGUGAAGACAAGAACAGUAUUCUUGGAAUAAAUACAUGCGUGUUUUCUGAAACACCACUUGCAAUUUUUACGCUUAUCACAUGCCCUCUCAAAAUUACAACAUAUAAGUCGUAUUCUAUUAUAUAAACCUUCUCAAGGGUUUAAAUUCUGUAGUAAAACAACUGAACAAUUUAUUUUCACGAUAAUUUAUGCGGAGGUAAGCCAGCUGAGUGUAAAGUAUGCAAAAAAUCUUCAUAUUAACUUUGAUCAAUCGUUUAAAUAGUUUCAUCAAACGCGACAUAUGUUCUAGAUUCACCAAAAACUUUUAUCAUUUAUUUCAUCAACAAAAUUAUUUUUUGUUGUUAAAAUAAUUUGUCGAAGACAUAUCACAAGUAGAUGUGUCAAAUUUGGAUAGGUAAUUCUAAAUAACAGAUUCAAUGAUUCUUUUUCUCUUAUAAAAGGAACAAUUAGGAAUUUCAAUCUUACAUUGAGAAUUGAAUUAGUUUUUCUUUAUCGCUCCCUAUUUGCAUCAAAUAGUCGCAGAAAGCAGGAUUUGUUCUUGCACAUGUUUAUUGAUAAUCGCAAUUUUCGAGUUGUUUCCAAAUUUCAGAACACAAUAAAUUUUCUCGUAAACUUUUCCACUAAAUAUUUUCUUCUUAUCCAUUAUAUCUUUUAGUAGUGAAUCAAAAGCCUCUAUUAGCUGUUAUUUGGCCAUAGAUACGUCAUUCCACACAAUUAGUUUGGCAUCUUGUAUCAAUAACGCACGUGAACUUUGUUUACUGAUAUUAAAUGAGAAAUGUUCAUCAAUAUCAAUAUAAAAUUUAAAACGGGAGCGAGCAGUUCAUCCUCCGGGGAGAAUUGAAGUUGUGACUCCAGAUGUUGAUGUUGCUAGAGCUACGAAUCCUUUAGAUCGUACAGUAGCCAAUAAUGCGUCGUACAAAAAUAUUUUACCAUUUCCUCUGGCACCAUCAAUAAAAAAAAGCUUCACACUUAUUCUUAAAAAUUCUAUCAAGAAUUAUAUCAUAUACUUUUAGCUGAUCAAAUCUUCUUCUCUAAUAAUUAUAUUUCUUUUAAAAUGAGAAUCUGGAGCCUCCCUAAGCAGUAGAAGAAGCUAAAUUUCUUUUUGGUGUGAGUGUAAAUUCAUUUAUGCCGCGACCCAUUAAAUGCAAAAUCUCGUUAAUAUGGUUUAAUGCCAUAUGACGAAUCUGUUUCGAGUUUAAAUUUGGAAAUCUUGAUGUCUUCGAACAUAGAAUCUUUAAAUUGAUUCCAAAGUUCUAUCCGGUUAGCAGGAUUACAAUAGAUAAGAUGGGUAGCAAAUAAACGCUUUAAACUAUAAGGCAUCUGAUAUCUUACAACUUCUAACAUACAAUCAACUAAGUUAUUAUUACAUUGUAAUAAGCUUCAUUUUAUGUUGCUUGUUUAAAUGUAUUGCAACAUACUCUAUUUACGGUUAGCAAAUAUUGGUAUGCUUUUGGUCCUCUAAUGUUCACUAAUAAUAAUCUGAGAUAGUAUCUUUCUCCUUCUAUUGAAUGGCAUGUGACUAUACAUCCAAUAACAUCACCUUGCUUUUGACGUGUCCACAUUUUAUAUUGUUUGGACUAUACAAAGUAUUUUGGAAAUUCCUUGUAGAGUAAAUUUAACUUUUUUGUAUCCUUAUUUUCUCUAUCCAUUACAAAGAAUUCUGUCAACAUGGUUUUUUUGAUAAUGGGGUUAUUCACAAUUGAAUUUAUAGUCUGUGUGCUAUUAAAAGAGACAAAUUAUUUUCCAUCAAGAUGUAGCUGAAGAUAGUAAACAUAUGGAGUUAUUUUGCUAAUGAGAAAACCAAAUAAACACCAAGUUGCCUUCGAUGGAGAAACCUAUCUAGCAUACUGCUAUUCGUUUAUCCCAUCUAUUUUAACAUUUGGAUCAUCAUCAUGGACGAAAAGACAAUUUUAUCAUGUCCCUUUAUAGAUAUAUUUAUAAAGGUAUUUAACAACUUUAAAAUCAUAACAAACGUUGACAUUGAUAUGGCUGUAAAAUUUGCUUAAUAGAUAUGGAUUUUAAGGAACGACUCAUGAAUUAUCAAGAAAUUGGCUUCUAAUAUUUUCAAAUUUACUGUUAUUUUGCUUUCUAUAAAUUGGAUAUCCAUUUUCCCCCAUAUAUGUAUGAUCAGCAAAUUCUUUUGGAUAUUUGAACUUACAAUAUUCUCUGUUCUUCAUACAAGGACAUUUAAAAUUUAAGCUACCACAAGGUACAUGCAUCAUAUGUUUAAUAACAAGUGAAUAUAGGUAGUCAUUCUUUUCAAAUUCAGGCAGUUUAGUACAAACAAAUUUAUCAUAAACAUUCGAACUUAACAAUUUACAUUCGUUAUUGAAUAUGAUAAGAAAAUGAGCAUGUGAAAUACCGUGCUUUUGAAAUUCAACAGUGUACACAAAAGCACCAACUUUUUCAAAUAUAUUUCUCUUCAAUAUAUCUGUUUUCAUCUCCUCUACCUUAGCUUUAAACACUUGAGUAAUUAAAUCAGGUCUAUUUUGUACCUCAUCUGCUACCAAUAAAUGUUCUUUUAUUUCUGGCCAUGCUGAAUUACACUUCAUUGUUAAAAUAUAUCAGGUUCUCCAAAAAUUUUCACUAAUGCAAUAGCGUCCAUAUAUCGUUAGCGCAUAUCUUUAAGACCUCCAAUAAAACUUGUAUGUAAAAAACCUUGUCUGCCUAUGUUGCAUGCCUCUUGCUCACCAUGUCUUAGAACAUCAAGAAUCUCUGCUAAUGCAUCAAUUCGAAAUAAAUCUUGAUUAAAUGAAUAGAAAUCUAACAUUUGAGUCUCAAGCUUGAUGAACUCGUCAACUGAAUAUUGUUAGAAUACUCUUCCAGCAUGUAAAACUCAAUUUUCUUUGUCAUCCCUCAUUUGAAGCUGGUAACAACAAUAUUCACGGUAUGACACAAUAUUUCUUUCUUUUUUUUCUAAAAGUUCUGCUUCUAUGUCAAAUAGCAUGUCAACUAAAUACAUAUUUUGUACAUUUGAUAGCUGUUCAUUUUCACACAGUAAGUUCCUUGGCUAAUAGUAUUAUUUGUUUGAAUAAUCUUUUUAAUAUCACAUUGCCAUCAGUUUUUGUCCAUAAGGAAAUAGUAAUGGAUACCGCAAUGGAUCAUAACAACCAUAGUAAUAAUUUACCAAUUGGCUUUUAUUACUAUGUGUAUAAUUCGAAUAUAUGGUAGAGAAAUAUUAGAACUACUUCCAUCUUCUAACUAUAUUGCUGCUACUUCAGAUGAUAUUGGUAAGUUAUAUGUUCUUUGAUCUAAAUCAAAGUCAGACUUAAGUGCAAUGUAGAAGUUUGAUAAUUGUGGGAUAUCUGUUAAAGAUUUCAAAAAGAUAGAGUAUGGAUUAACUUUUAAUGCGUCCAUCAACGUUCUGAUAACCGAUUCGUUAAGCUUGUCAAAGAAUGAUAUCCGAUUUGCUAGUUCGUUAUCAGUAUCAUAAAAAUACAACUGCAAAUUUUUGGUUGGUUCACUCAAAGGCAGUAGGUCAUUUAUGAAAUGAUACAUUUUCCCUUAAAACUCUAAACGUAUAACUACCACAAUUUAUUCUUGCUAAAUCUCUGUCAUAAUUCACUCCAGGAUAAGUAAAUGUAAAUAUAUCGUUAUACAAUCUAACAUAAGUGCGAAAAUGUUUGGACUUCCUAGAAUUUCCUAAAUAAAGAUUUAGGAGUUGAGUAGAUAGUCCACAGUGAAUCAAUUUUACGAAUUCAUUAUCAUAGCAAAAUCCCGAUGAUUCAUAUUGAAAGCUUAACAAAAUUUACAAUUCUGUACCGUUUUCAGUCUAUAAAGGUUAUUGGGCAAGUCAAUAGUGUUCCACUGACCUAUUUUUCUAGAUCUACGAUCUGUGUUUUUUGGGGUUAACCAAAUGGAAAAAAUAUCAACCUCGAAAAAUAAAUGACUCAAAUUACAUUAAAGCUAUAAGUAACCAAACCUCUAUUUGCAGUUUUAUGCAUAGUAAUAUCAUUUUGUUUCUGCGCAUGUUCCUGAUGUGGACCCUAAGAUAUAAGGAAUUAAGCAUAUAAGUCUGGCUAUUUGGACAUUCUACAAAUUUGAACACCAUACUUCCACACUUACCAACUUAAAAAAUACAGGAGCUAUCACGUACAUCUCUGACAUUAUGAAACCGGAAAAUCCUAAAUUGUGGAGAUAUUUUCAAAGACAAAAAAAGGUAUUAUAAACGGAUUAAAUAUGUAAAUGUUUAAUGUCUCAUAGUUCAAUUAAGGAUAACAAAAUUUUAGUUUGCAAACCUGUUCUCAAAAUAGAAGAUAAGCCUCCUCAUAGAGCAACUGUUUGGUCAGCAAACUCUCCAUUAAACUGAUAAGAAGUUGAUACUUCAGUGGAACUACAGAUCGGCUUCUGCAUUCUAGAAUGAAGAUUUGCUGAUCGUCGCUGCAAUAAGUUCAGUUCUCUUUUAUCAGUUGAUGUCACCCUAUAUAUUUCACAACGUCUUUGUUUUUUUGGUGCAUGUUUCUUCAGAGCAUUGGCGUUUUCCUUUUUCUUGCCAGCAUAUUGAGUCCACAUUAUUACCCAGCCUAGACAUCUUGGUAAUUUGGUCUGUGAAAGUUUCACAUAAAUCAAAUCAAAACUUAUAAAUAAAAUGUAUGCACUAUAUAAAUUUGAACAUCAGCAUGCAUUGCAGAGACGAUACACAGAACAACUAACAAGUUGAUGAGGUAAACAACAACAACAACAACAAUAACAACAACAACACAGUAUAAUUUCACUUAGUGGGGUCUGGGGAGGUUAGUAUGUACGCAGACCUUACCCCUACCCUUAGGUAGAGAGGCUGUUUCCAAAUAAAUCCCUGGCAUCCUUCCCUCCAAGAACUUCCCACCUUGCUCUUGGGGAGACUCGAACUCACAACCUCUCGGUUGAAAGUCGGGGUUGCUUACAAUCAAAGCAACCCCUCUUGUCAAGUUGUUGAGGUAAAGUGUUGGUAAAAUACGAUAAAAUAAAGAAAAUUAGCAGGCAAUAAAAGCUGAAUGUAGAUAUUUUUAUUAGAAGGAGAGUUGAGCAAAUUGUACAACUAAAGAUACAACGGUUAAGGGUCUAAUUUACCAUUCUACUAAUAUAAAUAGGCGUUAUUUAUUCUUCGUUUGAGUUUCUUAUAAAAAAUAUCUCCACGGUUAUACUUUUGGGUUAAAUAUACCCUUCAACCGUUAAAUAUCUCAUACAAGUUUAUAAUGGACAGGUGGCAGCAUGUCAUUGGACUUGAUUAAUUUUUAAAAGUAAUUUUAUCAAAAACUGGAAAACAAUUAUAAAAAUAGAAAAAAUAUUUUUAAUAAAAUAUUUUCGUUUUUUAAAAAAACUAACCAAAAAAAAUAUUUUCGUUUCUGAAUUUAUUUUUAGUUUUUUCAGUUUUUGUAGCAUUUCGUUUUAUUUCGUUUUUUCAAUUUUUUUUAAAAAAAAAUAUUUGUUUUUUUUAAAUGAAGAAAAAACAUUUCGAAAUGCUAUUUGGACUCAAUAAUAAUACGACUAGGCAUUUCGUUUUUUUUGUGAAGAAUUACAAAAAACAAAUUUUGUUGGAAAUACUUUUGUUGAUUUUGGACACGGCACAAAUCUUUUUGUGAAGAAUAAGAAAAAAACUUCAAAAACUGAAAAAUACAAGUCAUUCACACAAGUCAUUCAAAAACUGAAAAAUACAACUUCAAAAACUUUAAAAAAAGAACAAAAAUACUUUUUUUUUUAAAAAACAGAAAAAUUGAAAUAAAAACAAAAUUCUAUAAAAACUGAAAAAAAUAAAAAAAAAUCAAAAACGAAAUAUUUUUUUCAGUUUUUUAACGAACAAAAAUAUUUUAUUAAAAACAUUUUUUCUAUUUUUAUAAUUGUUUUCCAAUUUUUAAUAAAAAUACUUAAAAAAAUUAAUCAGGUCCAAUGACAUAUUGCCACGUGUCCAUUAUGAACUUUUAAGGUAUAUCUAACGAUUGAAGGCUAUAUUUGACCCAAAAGUAUAGCAUCGGGGAUAUUUUUGAUAAGAAACCCAAAGGGAGGAUAAAUAAGGUCUAUUUAUAAUAGUACAAGGAGACAAGAGGGGUUGCUCUGAUGGUAAGCAACCCCCACUUCCAACCGAGAGAUGUGAGUUUGAGUCUCCCCAGGAGCAAGGUGGGAAGUUCUUGGAGGGAAGGAUGCCGGGGGUCUAUUUGGAAACAGCCUCUCUACCCAGGGUAGGGGUAAGGUCUGCGUACAUACUACCCUCCCCAGACUCCACUAAGUGAAAUUAUACUGGGUUGUUGUUGUUGUUAUAAUAGUACAAGGGCAAAUCAGACCAUUAACCGAAGAUACAAAGUAGUGGAGCAAAUGAAUGAAAAAGAUAGGAAGUUGCUAAAUUUUAAUAAAUACAAGUACAUCAAUUUUUAUGCAGUAUGUAAUCUUGUUACGUAAACAACACUUAGGAACCAAAAUUAUCAUCCCAACCGUAGUGCAGAACACAGCCAUUAGGACCAUGAAGACAAAGUCCAUUAUAACUAACAAUCCAAUAGCAAAGUUUAUGUUCAGCACAAAGGGAUAUAUCUCUCUUAUAAUCAAACACUUUAAACUCUUUUGACUUAUUCUCUGCCCCCAUUGCACACCAAAGUAUGUUUUCUUGAUCACUAUGUAUAGGAAGAUAUAUUGUAUAAAUAAAUAUUGACGCACCGAUCGUUCGUUUUCCGAGAUCUUGUUUUCCAUUCCAGUUGCACUGGACUUGUACAGGAUGUGGUAUUGUGUUGCGAAUCUUAACAGUAUAGGAUUCAGCUAUGGAAGGAGAAAAGAUGGAAUAAAACGAGAGCAGAAAGCAAAAGGCCAAGUGAUGGGUAAUUAGGGAAGCCAUCAAUCUUGUUUGUGUGGUAUAAUAUUUCCUUCCUCUGGUCGUUUUUAUAUGUAAAAUUUAACCAAAGCAAAAUGUCCAACAAUUUUAUCAGGUAAAAAAAUCAGUAAGUCAUUAAUAUUUUUUAUCCAUCCUUAAGUAAGAGAUACAGUUAUAAUUAGUUUAGAUUUGAUCCAAUAACUGAGUGAAGUUAAUAUAAUUUUUUUUUUAAAUCGAGUCAAUUACAGUCACGCUUUUAUUCCCAUUUGAAAAAGAGUACAUCAGAAGAAAGAGGUCUUUUGGUCACAAAUUUUUUAAUUGUACUCAACGCAAUGGCCUGAUUGGCUAGAAGAAUGAACAAAUGUAUAUAUAUAUAUAUAUUAAGACCAGUGGUGCUAGCAAAGGCAUUUAUUUUCCUGAUAAACCUCCCUUAACUAGGGCUAUAAAAAUGUACAUUGUAAGAGAGUAUAGUGAGAUAAUAUUAUAGGAGUCAACUCAAAGGUAUACAAGGUCAAAUGUCGUAGACAAUUUAUGGGUUGUAACUGGAUGUUUCGUGUGAUCAAGAAGGAAAUAGGAUUGUAAAAAGUGGGUUAAUAUAUUAGCACCCACAGAUGUAAAAUGGACACAAUCAAUCAGAAUCACUUCAACUUAGAUAUAGACUUGAUUUCGUUUUGUCUUGAUUCUACACUUGGAAGUGUCCAUUAUGUACAAGAUCAAAGAGUAUAUUACAUCAAUCCACCAGUAAUAAAGUUGUACUAUAACCAAAAUAAAGGAAUAUCUCGGGCGAAAACGUGCAUUUGAAAUUAUUUAUGGUUACUGUGAUAAGUCAUUUCAUCUCUACCCAGGUACAUGGCCGCACUGAAAUUCUAUAACCUGGGCCUGUUGUUGAGUGGAGGCAUGAGCAAACUCCAGGAAUACCGAAAUAUAAUUUCAACUAUGUGUUGUCAUUUAAACCAGCAAUUGAUGAUUUUUGUACUGCGUCCAGUAAUUUUCAUAGAUGGUACUCAUAUCUAUGGAAAGUAUGAUAUUUAAGCUUUUGAUCGCAGUUACAAUAGAUGCCAAUGGAUAAAUAUUUCCACUAGCUUUUACCAUUUGUGCCAAUGAAGUGAAAAGACGUGGACGUGUUUUUGGAACCACUUGACGCAGUAUGUUGUUAAACAGCGUUCAAGUAUUUGUAUAAUGUAUUAUCUGCAUAGUGGUAUUUAAAGUUUUGUAUGAUAUUUUCCUAAAUGGUAGGAACCCUAUGCAUACCAUCGCUACAGUGUGAGGCACCUGAAGGCCAAUUUUCAGAAGAAAUAUCCCGACAAGGCCUUGCAUGAUUUAAUAUGGAUGGCUGCAAUUGAGCACCAGCAGUCCUAAUUCAGGAGGCGCAUAGAAGCGAUCCAGCAGUUAGACGAAGUAGCAUAUAAUUGGCUGAUGAGACAUGAGCUUCACAAGUGGACAAUUGCAUCCUGAUGGUAUAAGACAAUGGGGAGCCUUAGCUACAAAUGUGUCAGAGUCAUUCAACGGCUUAUUGAGGCUUGCACGUGAAUUGCCUGUCAUUGACAUGGUUUGGAUGACAUUCAAACAGAUUGCGGAGAGGUUUGUUGAAAGGCAUAGAGCUGCAUCGGAAUUGAUAGACAGGGUUGUUCAAUUUAUGCCAAUACCAAUGAGAAGAUUUGAGAAAUAAUAGGAGGCAAGCACAUUGGCAUUCAUAUUUACAAUAUGAUCACGUCUGGGGUGUUUUUCAAGUUCGCACUGCUAUUCGCGGACAACAGGGGAAUAUUCUACAAAUCAUCAAUGAAGCCAGCAAGUUGUGUUCAUGUGAGAAUGGACCAUCAACCAUAUGGUGUGCGCACAUGCCAUGAAAUGCUUUAAAAAAGUUAGCUUAGGAGCAACGAACUAUGUUGAUAGGCAAUAUAGUAUUGCUACACACUUAAACACAUAUAGUGGGCAGUAGCAGCCAUUGGACGUUGUACAUUAUUGGCCGCCGAAACCAUUUAAAAUGCUAUAUAACAAGGGCUAUUUGCACAAGCUUCAAGUGCAGAAGAGAAUGCAUAUACGGAACCAAAUGGAUGUUGACGAUACCAUUUAUGCACAUAAAUUAUCACAUGCUCGCAAAUAGGACAUGACCGUCGUAAAUGUCUUUCAGUAGGUAUGGGUGGCGGUGGUAAUCCAGCUCUGGUGCAAGUUUGUCUAAUGUACCCAACUAUCAAGGAUACACCUAGUGUUUUAUUUUCGUAAUAUAUUUUAAAGUAAGUGCAUGUACUUGUUUAUGUUGCAAUAUCUAUCAAAUAAAAUUAUGUUCCACAGUCUUAUUACAUCUUAUUAUCUAACAUGGCCUUUUGAAUUGAGAUGAUGAUACGAUAGUUCUAACAUUUAAUUUAUUGGUGUUAGUAAAGAAGACUAAUAUGAAGAUAGAAAUUUCAUAACAUAAUACUUGAAGAGAAAAAAGAAAAACUACCAUAACAAAAGUAAUAUACAUGAAAGUAAAAGAUAAUAAAAGGAUAAAUUAAGAAAAUUUGUUACGUUUUAGAAAAAUGAAUGUGCAUAGUGUGGUUAAAUACUAUAUUUUGUGUAUUGUCUUGUCGGUCUGAAAAGCUAACCGACUACGAAUAAGUUGUUUUGUUUCAAAAAAAGUCAAUUUGUAUAGCGCGGUUAAAUACUACAUUUUAUGUGUUGUCUUGUCGGUCUAAAAAGCUGACUAACAGCGAAUAAUUUAUUUUGUUUCAAAAAAAUCAAUAUGUAUAGUGCGGUUAAAUACUACGUUUUGUAUGUUGCCUUGUCGGUCUGAAAAGUUGACCGACUACGAAAAAUGCUAUUUCGUUUCAGAAAAAGUAAAUAUGUGUAGUGCGAUUAAAUACUAUAUUUUGUGUAUUAUCUUAUUGGUUUGAAAAGUUGACUGACUACAAAAAAGCUAUUUUGUUUCAGAAAUAUUAAUAUGUAUAGCGCGGUUAAAUACUACGUUCGUUUCAGAAAAAAGUCAAUGUGUAUAACGCGGUUAAAUACUACGUUUUGUGUAUUGUCUUGCCAAUAAAUAACAGGCGCAUUCUAGUUAUUUUUUGCACUUAACAAUAACCAAUGGCAAAUAUUUCCACAAAAGAAAGGUUUUUUUACGCUUUAACAAAUGUAUGAACCCCUUUUAUGUGCCAAGGUACGCGAGUGAAAAAAGUACAUGAUGCAAGAUUGUUGGGAUGAUGGUGAAGCUGGACACCAUUAUUUGGUGUGUAUGAACAUGCUUUAUAGGGUUCCCGACGAAACUAUUUGCAAUUUUGAGGAAUGGAUUGAUGAACCUUGCCAGCAGGAAUACUACAAAGAAAAGUUGCAACAUCUUUAUUAUUUGUGUUUGAAACAGUAGGAAAGAGAGCAACAAUCCAAACGAGAAGUUGCGGAGUUGAAGGAGAAAUUAAAAUAGGUGGAAGAAGAAAAAAUAAGCUAGAAGAAAUAAUUAAGUGGUUGGAGAAGAAAAUACUAGGUGAUGAUGACUAAACAAUAAUAUGUACGUAUUGAGCAUAGUAUUAUAUCUUUAUAUUUCCCGGGUCAUGAGUUUUCAUUAGUUAUACGUAUAAGUUAUGUUAAUUUUCUAUGUUUGUGAUUAUGUUGUACUAUUAAAAUAAAGAAGAAAUAUGGUAAUAAAAAUAUAACUCUCAUAUUAUGUAAGCAUAAAAAUUUGUUGUUAUUAUUAACAUAAUUUUUUAUUUACAUAAAAUACAAAAAGAGAAAAUCAAUGAGUCUCACAGCCUUUGUGCUUCAAUGUAGCCAUAUGCCUGAGGCGCAUCCCCUCCUGCCUGAAUAUACUAUCAGGAUCAUCCUCAUCAAGUCGCCACUUUAUAUGAGGAUGUGUUGCAGCGUGAUCGUCAGUUGGGCUAGCAGGGGCGGUAGAAGGGGCCGCCGAUCCAUCAGCAACCUACAAAAUAAUAAAUAAGAUCAGUAUAUGAAUAUGUAUAUUAGCAAUGUACGUGUUAAGUCAAAAACAUUUGUUAACAUGGUCUCGUCGAGCUCAUGGAAAUAAGCCUCCAUGGUGUCCUCAGCAUCGCACAAAGUGGCCUCCAUGAUGGGCUGGGAUGAAGCCUUAAUAAGAAAAUUAAAAAUUAAUUUUUGGCAAUAUAAAUUGGAAAAAAAUAAAUUAAAAUUUAAUAGUAAUACAAACAUACAUGUGCAUGUGAUAGAUCCGCCACACACGGCAACGAUGAGCCAAAACUCAACUUGUGCUCAUCAUCCACGUCUCGGAUCGGUCGAGCUUUAGCUGUGGUCGAUGGGCCUAAAAAGAACAACUCCUAACCUCUGGUGAGGCUCGUGCCCCUAAUCAAUAAUUGAUGUGACGAGUUCACCUGCGAUGCUGGCAACGCCAGCUGAAGGCUGUAUGACAACAUGCUACUGGGAUGCUCGUCUAGCUGAGGAAUUUCACCCGGCAGAUUAGCUCUAACCUCUUCAUCGGGUGCCUCAAUGCCCCCUUGCAGGGACUACCUCCUCGCCGGCCCCCAGGACCCCAUAGGGCACCCCUGCUUCGUGGGGCACCCCCACAUAGUAGGAAAGCCCUGCCUCGUCCUCGUCCCCAUCCCCUCGGGCGUGUGAAGGUAUUCCCCAAUGGUAGUGCUCUUGAGUCACAUAAUCAGGUCGUGAUCUAAGCGCUCCCCUCUUUGGUUGUUGCAGUGUCCGGAGAGCCACCUCUGUCACCUGCCAGCCAUAAUCAACGACCGUGUGAUCGCCGGCAUGCUACUGCAUCUGCAGUCCCAACUGGUAGAAUAAAUGAUGACUAAUAGCCUGCACAACAUUUAAAAUAUUAAUUACAGAACGCUAUAUCAUAGUUAUAAGUAAGAAUACAAAUAACAUGCCAGUGCAUCGUGGCUCCCGGCGUAUGGUCUGUACCGACCGCUAGCUUGAUAAAUUGAGUUCCCGAUAAAAAGGGGAGUAACGCGGCGGUACUAGGACGUAUAAAUCUGAAUAGUUGCUGCCAAGAUCUGUGAAGGUGAGGGAGAAAUCAGGUUAGCUCGUUGGUCACAAGCAUGGACCCGCGCCUCUAUCUAGGCUACAAAUGCACCGUCCACCCUCGAAUGAUUAUCCCACUGAUAAUGUGUAGCCUCCCAUGUAGGCCCCCAUAGUAUAGUCUGCAGACGGCCAAACUAGCGAAGUACCCAAACUGUGGCGUGAUACUUCACGAUAUCGAUGCACAUCAGCGGGACGGAAGUGCUCCAAAUUAGUCGGUCGGCUGAGCAAUAAUCACGCUGACCACCUAUCACAUCGUCGUUGUAUACGUCUAGAUGAACUAUCAAAUAAGAACAUAAAAUGGGUAUGCGCAACUAAAGUGAAUCUAUACCAAGUAAGUUUAGGUACACAUUUACCUAUGCGCCCUUCAGCAUAUCCAACACAUGCCUGAUAAGGGGGAGAUUAUGAUGAGCAUCACAAACUCGGCAAUUUCCAUGUUGGAGAACCCACCUCCUAGAUAGAGGGAGGAAUAGAGGUGGUACAUUCAGAGGUAACGGUCGUAGAGGUUUCUGAAACACCAGGAAUCGCUCCCAGGCCCAAACCUAACAUACAAAGUUGACGUAAAGUGUAAGAUAAAUUUUGACUAGAUUGAAUUGGUAGUAAUGAACAUAGUAUUCGAAUAUGUUGUCACAUGUAGAAGCGGUAGAAAACCACAUAUAUCGCUCUGGGUGCCCAUGCUCUCCCAACACAGCUGCCGGUAUACGUAAGCGAGAAUAGCAGCACCCCAGUUGUACUGGGGUAAAGUAUCUAGCAGAUGAAGAUGACGUAGAAAUCAAAAAUUCACUAGAUUUCCGGAAGUAUUCAGGAGCAAGACACCCCCCCCCCCCCCNNNNNNNNNNNNNNNNNNNNNNNNNNNNNNNNNNNNNNNNNNNNNNNNNNNNNNNNNNNNNNNNNNNNNNNNNNNNNNNNNNNNNNNNNNNNNNNNNNNNNNNNNNNNNNNNNNNNNNNNNNNNNNNNNNNNNNNNNNNNNNNNNNNNNNNNNNNNNNNNNNNNNNNNNNNNNNNNNNNNNNNNNNNNNNNNNNNNNNNNNNNNNNNNNNNNNNNNNNNNNNNNNNNNNNNNNNNNNNNNNNNNNNNNNNNNNNNCCCCCCCCCCCCCCAAAGGAAGGAGCAGCAGAAACCUAGUAUACCGGUGAUAUGUAAAUCAUUUCUAUCACCGAUGAUGUUAGGGUAAAUACUCCAAAUAUUAUCUAAUAGUUGUAAAACCUAUGCAACUGGGCCUUUGACAUACAGUCUCAUCCUGUAGCCUGAAACAAGUGAGAUGUUGCAAAAAGUCCAAAUACUGGCCACGUGGCAUAGAUCUCAUUCCCUAAGGUAGUGUAAGAGACAGUCUAUCAGCAUGCACCGCAUAUAAAACCUCAACAUCCUGCUACGUGAUGGUGGCCUCUCUAAUGGGUAGGUUGAAAGUGUGUGUCUCUGAUUGCCACCGCUCUAUUAAGGUUGUAAUCAGAGACCAGUCGAGCUGCAGCUGCCCAAUCUCAAAAAUUCCAUAGAAGCUCGUAUCUCGUAGGCACUGGAAUAUAGGGGCAUGGAAAACUUUGCCCCUCAUAAAGUCCCACAAUUCGUCCACUCUCCUAGCACAGAGAGUCCGGGGAAGUAGCUCUCCAUCCCAUAGGUACGAGGACCUAUGAUUGCCCUGUAACACUAAUAGCUCAUCGGAGACAGGUCUGGGAUGCACAUGCGGCACGUCCAUGUCAUCUACUGUAAAUAAAAUAAUAUUAAAUGGAUAGCUAGAAGCGUAAUAGCUCAUCGGAGACAGGUCUGGGAUGCACAUGCGGCACGUCCAUGUCAUCUACUGUAAAUAAAAUAAUAUUAAAUGGAUAGCGUAUAUAUCUAUGGGUUCCAGUUUCGAUAUUUGAGGCUCAGUAGCACCAAGCUUUCCUGAAUUCUUAUGUGUGUCAAUUUCAAUAUUUUUAUAAUUUUGUGGGUUUGUUUUUAAAAUUAAAUAGGUAAUCUUUAAUUGGAUAGCAUAUAUAUAUAUAUAUAUACAUAUAUAGAUAUAUAUAUAUAUAUAUACAUAUAUAUAUAUAAUAGCACCAAGCUUUUUUGAAAUCUUAUAUAUGUCAAUUUCAAUAUUUAUAUAAUUUUGUGUGUUUGUUUUGCAAUUAAAUGAUUGAUUUUAGUUACUAAAUUGGACAGAGUAUGUAUCUAUUGGUUCCAAGCUCCAAUUAUUUUUGUUGUUGUUUGUCUUUUUUUUUUUGUCAAAGAGAAAAUUUGUAUUUCAACCAGUAUUAAUGUACAUCAAUUGUUCUUUGGGACUAUAGAACAAAUCUUAAAAUUUGAUCAACUAGCUACUCUACAACCAUUGUUGUUUAACUAACUCCUAACAUACAAAAAUGUAGAUAUAGUCAAGGAAUACAUUGAGGGUAGCAAUUUAUGUUCUGUAGGGUAGGCUGCCAUUUAGGCUUCUUUAGUCCAGUGAUGUGCAAUACAUUGAGGGUAGCAAUUUAUGUUCUGCAGGGUAGGCUGCCAUUUUGGCUUCUUAGGUCCAGUGAUGUGCACUUGGAUUACGAUCUGUCGUACUCUGUCUGUAGCUUCUUUGCUCGACUGUCGAAAUCUUCUUUCAUUCUUUUCCAUCCAAAUAUUGUAUACAACUGCUGCAAACACCACUCAUAGAAUGGUUUUCUUUGGCUUUCUGUUGUUUACUCUAGCAGAAACUCAUUGCACCUCUAGCUCCCAGUUGUUUAUCAAUCAGUUGAAGUUCAGCCACUUUAACAAUCCUUGCCACAGUUUUUGGGAAUAAGAACAUUCAAAGAACAGGUGAUCGUGUGUCUCUACAAUGUCACUCCCACACAAUGUACAUGACUGAUC
Molecule: long non-coding RNA, 16649 nt
Filed under: Nicotiana benthamiana
Lineage: Eukaryota; Viridiplantae; Streptophyta; Magnoliopsida; Solanales; Solanaceae
Description: long non-coding RNA (NBEN_LNC019444)
Source: RNAcentral